Molecule: non-coding RNA, 67 nt
Filed under: Tieghemostelium lacteum
Lineage: Eukaryota; Evosea; Eumycetozoa; Dictyosteliales; Raperosteliaceae
Description: Dictyostelium lacteum Class I RNA from Dictyostelium
Rfam family: Class I RNA from Dictyostelium
Source: Rfam by way of RNAcentral
GGUUCCUUUACAGCAAUCUAUACACAAAAUCAAUGAUCCAAUUCUAUGAAAAACUACCGGGAAUCUG